This 69-nucleotide transfer RNA is filed under the name Ictidomys tridecemlineatus (thirteen-lined ground squirrel). RNAcentral describes it as "Spermophilus tridecemlineatus (thirteen-lined ground squirrel) tRNA". It matches the Rfam family "tRNA". Rfam says of the family: Transfer RNA (tRNA) molecules are approximately 80 nucleotides in length. Lineage: Eukaryota; Metazoa; Chordata; Mammalia; Rodentia; Sciuridae. The record is from Rfam by way of RNAcentral.
GGGGUUGUAGCUCAGUGGUAGAGCACUUGCCUCCCAUGUGUAAAGCACUGGGUUCAAGUCUCAGCACCA